This 1259-nucleotide long non-coding RNA is filed under the name Salmo salar (Atlantic salmon). Its description in RNAcentral is "lncRNA (ENSSSAG00000107646.1)". Lineage: Eukaryota; Metazoa; Chordata; Actinopteri; Salmoniformes; Salmonidae. The record is from RNAcentral.
CUGAGCGCCCGGGAGUUCUUGCCCCGUGGCAGGCUGGUAGCACAUUGCUCUCCUGCCGAUGCUGCUAUUCUCUGUCCCGUGCUAUGCCGUGUUAAGCCCCACUGUGAGGCGAGAGAGAGGUCUGGAGGAUGUGAUGACUUUAUAGGGGGAGAGGACAGAGCAGCAGAGGGACACAGCAGACAGAAACUGUUACAUGGCAGGGUGAAACGUCCAUGCUGCAUCUGCAUGACAACCAUGUGAUCCCAAUCAGUUUCAUGGGAAUGUGCAUUUUGAUCUUCUUGAAUGAUGACCUGAGCCCUAGGACCAUGCCUCAGGACUACCUGGCUUGAUGACUCCUUGCUGUCCCCAGUUCACCUGGCCGUGCUGCUGCUCCAGUUCCAACUGUUCUGCCUGCAGCUAUGGAACCCUGACCUGUUCACCGGACGUGCUACCUGUCCCAGACCUGUUGUCCCAGAACUGCUGGAACCCUGACCUAUUCACCGGACGUGCUACCUGUCCCAGACCUGCUGUUUUCAACUCUCUAGAGACAGCAGGAGCGGUAGAGAUACUCUCAAAGAUCGGCUAUAAAAAAGCCAACUGACACUUACUCUUGUGUUACUGACUUGUUGCACCCUCGACAACUACUAUGAUUAUUAUUAUUUGACAAUGCUGGUCAUUUAUGAACAUUUGAACAUCUAGGCCAUGUGCUGUUAUAAUCUCCACCCGGCACAGCCAGAAGAGGACUGGCCACCCCUCAUAGCCUGGUUCCUCUCUAGGUUUCUUCCUAGGUUUUGGCCUUUCUAGGGAGUUUUUCCUAGCCACCGUGCUUCUACACCUGCAUUUCUUGCUGUUUGGGGUUUUAGGCUGGGUUUCUGUACAGCACUUUGAGAUAUCAGCUGAUGUAAGAAGGGCUAUAUAAAUACAUUUGAUUUGAUUCAUUCAACUUCAAUCUAAACUUCGUUAAACUAACCUCAUUCUUAGAAGUGACAGAGCGUCGCACCGGCAGCACUACACCGCCUGCUCAAGAUGCUGAAAGAAAGAAAUCAUAGCCUACUUCUCAACUCAUGUUCCCGAGUCAAAAUGUACAUUUGGUGUAUUAUUUUCUGGCAAUAAAUGCUUAAUUCUGCAGGAGUUAAUAUUAUAUUAGGCUAUGAGAGAGGUUAUAGAACUACAGUCGGUGUCCAGAUUUCAAGUCUGGGUUUCAGAUUUCAGAUUUUGGAUCAUCACUGGAGGCUCCGGGCCAUGGAUCCUCACUGGAGGCUCCGGGCCAUGGAUCAUCA